AUGGAAUAAUAGAAUAGGACGUGUGGUUCUAUUUUGUUGGUUUCUAGGACCGCCGUAAUGAUUAAUAGGGAUAGUCGGGGGCAUCAGUAUUCAAUUGUCAGAGGUGAAAUUCUUGGAUUUAUUGAAGACUAACUACUGCGAAAGCAUUUGCCAAGGAUGUUUUCAUUAAUCAGUGAACGAAAGUUAGGGGAUCGAAGACGAUCAGAUACCGUCGUAGUCUUAACCAUAAACUAUGCCGACUAGGGAUCGGGCGAUGUUA
Molecule: ribosomal RNA, 259 nt
Filed under: Hyaloscypha sp.
Lineage: Eukaryota; Fungi; Ascomycota; Leotiomycetes; Helotiales; Hyaloscyphaceae
Description: partial small subunit ribosomal RNA
Rfam family: Eukaryotic small subunit ribosomal RNA
Source: RNAcentral